RNAcentral lists this long non-coding RNA (12496 nucleotides) under Manihot esculenta (cassava). Its description in RNAcentral is "long non-coding RNA (MESC_LNC003007)". Lineage: Eukaryota; Viridiplantae; Streptophyta; Magnoliopsida; Malpighiales; Euphorbiaceae. The record is from RNAcentral.
AUCUAACACACAGUCUUCAGUUGAUUCCCUUGGCGCUAAUAAGGGAGCUGUGGGUUGCAGUCUCAUUGUUUCUUUGAUAACAGCUUUGAGAUAAGGUAGUUGUUGACAAUAAGCUUCUUCUACAAAAUCUUUCCUCCCAACAAGUUUUCUUACUUCUUCUUGAGCUUUCUUCAUUGCCAUGGGAUUCUUCAUCAGUAAGGUCAUGGCCCAAACCACAGUAGCUGCGCUGGUGUCUGUUCCUGCCAAGAAUACGUUCUGUAUAGAUCAAAAGAAAAAAAAAUAUCAUUAUUAGUGCAUGGCUCCAUAUAAAGAAACUAAAGAAAGAAUUUGCCCUUGCAUGAUCAGGAAGUUACCAUAAGCACAGCUUUGAUGUGAUCAAAGGUGAGAUCAACUUUAAAAGAACGAUCCUUCCACAAUUGAAGUAAGAUAUCAAGAAUAUCUUCUUCUGCAGGCUUUGACCUACUUGGGUCAAGGUGUUCUUGGAUGAUCUGUUCAUAGAAAACAUCAAAUUCCCUGAAGUUUUUCUCUAGGCGAUGUAAUAAUCCUGUGAACUUAUCAAUAAAACCCAAGAAAGGAAAGUAAUCUGCAACAAAAAAACACAUAAACAAGGCCCGAGCUUCUUUCAGCAACUCUUGAAAUCUACUCGUUCCAACCCCAUCUUCCUCGUACCUCUUCCCGAAAGCAACCCUACAAAUUAUAGUACUUGUAAGCGACAUCAUGGCUUCAGACAAGUUUACAGGUUCCGAGGCAACGGCUGAUUUGGAGAUCUUUUCAAGCAUAUGGGAAACUUCAAAUUCUCUAAUGGGACGGAAACUUUGCACUCUAUUAGAGUUGAAGAGAUAAACCAUACAAAAUUUUCUCAUCUCUCUCCAAUAAGCAUUAUAAGGUGAACAACCCAAGUCUAAACCAUUGUACGACAACUUUUGCUGGCCAACUAAAGCAGGCCUGCUACAGAAUAUAAGAUCAUGGGUUUUCAUGACUGCUUCAGCCAUUUUGGCAGAGGAAACUACGAGGAUUGGGACAAAACCUAGACGCAAGGACAUUACAGGACCAUGUUUUUGAGAAAGCUGCCAUAAGUAGGAAUGACGGUUUAAGCUAUCAAAUUGAUGCAAGUUGCCUAUGACUGGAAGACCCUUUGGACCAGGUGGCAAAUGAAGAUUUCUUUUGGUUUUGAUUUUUCGGAGAAGAAAUGAAAGAAGAAAUGGAAGAGCUAACAGGAGAAGUACAAGCAAAACCAUUUUGUGUGUUUCAACUCUGAAUAUGAGAUAUUAUAAAAAGGAGACCAUUGGUUACAUAUAUAUACAGAUCUUUUCCUUCGUUGGAACAGCUGACGAAAGUCCUUUAAUGCAAAGAUAAAUGAUUUCUUAGUUAUUUUUACUUACACGGAGUGUAAACAGAUCAAAACACGACAAUGCGUACGAAAGUUUCAACAAUUUGACGACUAUGACCAUUACAGCCCAACUACAACUAGUUGCCCAUUGAUAGUUCUUUUGGAGGAGAGAAGAACAAGAGAUUGAUUGACACUCCAAUUGCUCUACUGAUUUUAUCAAUACGUAGGUAUUUAUACAUUAAAAUAUAAUUAAAAAAAUUAGAUUAUAACUAAUUUUAAAUUUUAAACUUAAAAUCUUAAUAAAAUAAUUUAAAACUAACUUAUUGAAUUUAGCCUAACAAUUAUAAUCUUAAAUUUGCAGGCUAAAUCAAUUCUUCUAACACUCCUCUUGACUUAGAAAAUGUAGUGUGAAUAUCGUGAACUGUUGCAUUUUAGAAUUGGCCUUCACGACUCUUUAAUGUGAUUGUGAACUUGAAUAUAAUCGUGAAUAUGAUUGAAUGAGAAAUCUUGUUUUUGGGAUUGAAUGUGAGUGGAGAAACUCCUGACAUUAAAAUUUCUUAUUCUAGCAUUGCUCGUAAAUAGAGAAUUCUCUUCUAUUGGCAUUGCUUGUGAAUUAAAAAUUAGCUUGUUGAUGUGUUCUAGAAAUACAAGCUUGGUCUAAUCUUGCUUUUGUUUGAGUUGAGCUAUCAACUUAGAUAAAUUUUUCAAGAAGACCCCGAAGAAAUGAUUAGACCAAUCUGAGAGAGGGAUACCUUGCAACCUGAGCCAUAUAAGUCUAUUAGUUGGGGUAUGAACAGGCUUCCACGGCUUAAUAUCAUAAAGCCAUUGAUUAAGUCAAUUUAUGCUUUCAUUCAAAAAAUCUUUCAUGUAAUCCUCUUAUUCAAAAGUUAAGAGCACCUUAUCUCCACCCAUUAGAGUGAUAUUAAUGUUGAGGAGACCCACAAUGAAUUAAUCUAGAAGAUUUGUGAUAGUGACAAUGGACUAUUUAAAUUUCGUCAGAAAUUUUAAUUAAUAUUGUUUGGUUAAAACGGAAUGAUAUGAUAGAAAAUGAAAAAUCUUAUUGAAAUUUUUUAAAUAUUGAAAAGUGUAUUUCUAAUAGUUAAGGGAUGCUAUUUAUAAUAAAAACAAAACUCUAAUAUGUAAAAUUAUGAAAAUACCUAAAAUAUCUAAAAAAGUAAUUAAAAUGAAAAAUUGAUCCUCUAAACGAUGGAAUCUCAGAAUUUUCUAAUAGCAUGCAGCUCUCAUCACACUUUUAAAAGUUGUGCGUCUCAAAAUUUUCUUUUCGAAAAUCUAUCGUGGAUCUCUAUCGAACGUCGACAGCAAAAGUUAGGUCCACUUCAAGUUUUCCGUAAAGUUCAAGACUAAUUGUUCCGUGUCGGAUAAAGUAAAUGCACUGAAGUGAGGCAAGGGCUGAUCGAGCUAGCCAUUCUUUAUUUUCUAUGCAAUGUCAUCAGGCGUGCUGUAAUUACCGAUGACUAAGAAACGUGUGGGUUGUUUAGGUUGUUCAGGAUAUAAAUUGAAAGCCUCCCCCAAGGUCUGGUGGUUCCUUUUGUAAAUUCUUUAUGUGAGACUUGUCCCAAAUACAGAAUUUAUAAAAAUUUAAAAUUAUAUAUAAUAAUGGGUUAAAAACUAUUAAAUAAUUUAAGUUAAUCAUUUUGAUUAACUUAAAUCAAAGAAAAAAUGACCGUCUAUUGUGUCUCAAAACUAAUUAACUCAAAUUAUUUAGUAGUUUUAUGUUAAUUAUUAUAUAAAAUUUUAACUUUUCCUAGACGCUUUCUCAAAUUAAGCAAGGUGCUGACUAUUAUAAAAAUAUAAUAAAAAAGUCAAAAUUUUAGUAGAUAGAAUCCCAUCAAAUAUUUUUUGAGGAUUGGACCAGAUAUGUCCAUUUCUCAAGAACAGUAGCCAUUGAAAUGAGGUUAUAAAUAAUUUUGAAUUUUAAAUUUAAAAUCUUAACAAAACAAUUUAAACAACUAACUUAUUGGACUUAACCUAAUAAUUAUAACUAAGUUAAUUCUUCUAAUAAUACAAUAUUUGAUUUUAGGAUAUUAUAGUUUACCAUUAUUUUAGACUGCUGACUUUAUUUUAUGGAUAAAUUUUUUUUUAUAAAUUUACUAGUUAGAUAUAAUUUUUUAAGUUAGUGUGUCUUUAAUUGAUCAAUUGUAUCUAUAUAACUAAGAUUAUAAUAAAUAAGUUGUGAAUCAUUUUAUAUUUAACUUAAAAUAGUUAAUUCAAAUGUAUUCUCAUAUAUCCUAAUAAAUUCCUGAAGUAGAAAUUAGUCUCACUACCAGUAGGUGUGAACGACCACCAAAACAUUGCCAUUGUUCCUUUUUCUGUUUUGGAUUCAUGUCAUAUAUGAGCUUUUAUACACGUAUGAUCGUUGAUAACUACAAAGACUAAGCCGUCGCCACUGUUUCGUCACCGUUUUGGAUUCAUGUCAUAUGUAAGCUUUUAUACAUGUAACCUUAUUGACUACGUAGACCGAGCCCUUGCCACAGUUCCAUUUCUGUUUUGGACUCAUGAUACCAUAUGGAUUUAAUAUAUAAAUGUGUUCUAGAAAUAAUAAUAAUAAUAAUAAUAAUAAUAAUAAUAAUAAUAGACUAAAUUCAGCCUGUCAUGAUACUAUAAAAACUAAAUUAAGAGCACAAUUUUUAACCAAAAUAAUAAUAAUAAUAAUAAUAAUAAUAAUAAUAAUAAUAAUAAUAUAAUUAGGAGAACUAAAAUCAAGCACAAAGAUAACUUUUAUAUUAAGAAAAAUUAUUAUCUAAAUCAGAUUCAUAUGGAUUUAAUAUAUAAAUGUUUUAUUUUUAUGUAAAGCUGAGAAAUCCUAUCCAGUAAUAGUCUUUCCUUCAUAUGAAUGCGUGCCCAAAGAUCAGGCAUACUUCCUGGCCAUAAGGCAAAGAGCAUUUUUCUUGUGCAUAGUAAUACCAGGUUGCACAUCCAUGUCCAAGUCUUCCUUCUUCAUUCCAACAGGCAUCUCCCAAUCGAAUUUGUGAAGUAGAUUAGCUAGAGACACCUCAACAGUUGCGAGACCCAUAAAAAUCCCAGGACAAAUUCUUCUACCAGCUCCAAAUGGUGUCAGCUCAAAAUCUUGGCCUUUCAAGUCAAUAGAGCUAUUGAUGAAUCUCUCAGGAUUAAACUCUUCUGGGUUUUCCCAGAUUUCAGGAUCUCUUCCAAUUGCCCAUGCAUUCACAUAAACUACAGUUUUAGCUGCUAUGUCAUACCCAUCUAACACACAGUCUUCAGUUGAUUCCCUUGGCACUAAUAAGGGAGCUGUGGGUUGCAGUCUCAUUGUUUCUUUGAUCACAGCUUUGAGAUAAGGUAGUUGUUGACAAUCAGCUUCUUCUACAAAAUCUUUCCUCCCAACAAGUUUUCUUACUUCUUCUUGAGCUUUCUUCAUUGCCAUGGGAUUCUUCAUCAGUAAGGUCAUGGCCCAAACCACAGUAGCUGCCCUGGUGUCUGUUCCUCCCACGAAUACGUUCUGUAUAGAACAAAAGAAAAAAAAUAUAUCAUUAUUACUGCAUGGCUCCAUAUAAAGAAACUAAAGAAAGAAUUUGCCCUUGCAUGAUCAGGAAGUUACCAUAAGCACAGCUUUGAUGUUAUCAAAGGUGAGAUCAACUUUAAAAGAACGAUCCUUCCAAAGUUGAAGUAAGAUAUCAAGAAUAUCUUCUUCUGCAGGCUUUGACCUACUUGGGUCAAGGUGUUCUUGGAUGAUCUAUUCAUAGAAAACAUCAAAUUCCCUGAAGUUCUUCUCUAGGCGAUGUAAUAAUCCUGUGAACUUAUCAAUAAAACCCAAGAAAGGAAAGUAAUCUGCAACAAAAAAACACGUAGACAAGGCCUGAGCUUCUUUCAACAACUCUUGAAAUCUACUCCUUCCAACCCCAUCUUCCUCGUACCUCUUCCCGAAAGCAAUCCUACAAAUUAUAGUACUUGUAAGCGACAUCAGGGCUUCAGACAAGUUUACAGGUUUCGAGGCAACGGCUGAUUUGGAGAUCUUUUCAAGCAUAUUUGAAAGUUCAAAUUCUCUAAUGGGACGAAACUUUGCACUCUAUUAGAGUUGAAGAGAUAAACCAUACAAAUUUUUCUUAUCUCUCUCCAAUAAGCAUUAUAAGGUGAAAAAGCGAAGUCUGAACCAUUUUACGACAACUUUUGCUGGCCAACUAAAGCAGGCCUGCUACAGAAUAUAAGAUCAUGGGUUUUCAUGACUGCUUCAGCCAUUUUGGCAGAGGAAACUACGAGGAUUGGGACAAAACCUAGACGCAACGACAUUACAGGACCAUGUUUUUGAGAAAGCUGCCAUAAGUAGGAAUGAGGGUUUAAGCUAUCAAAUUGAUGCAAGUUGCCUAUGAAUGGAAGACCCUUUGGACCAGGUGGCAAAUGAAGAUUUCUUUUGGUUUUGAGUUUUCGGAGAAGAAAUGAAAGAAGGAAUGGAAGAGCUAACAGGAGAAGUACAAGCAAAACCAUUUUGUGUUUCAACUCUGAAUAUGAGAUAUUAUAAAAAGGAGACCACUGGUUACAUAUAUAUACAGAUCUUUUCCUUUGUUGGAGCAGCUGACGAAACUCCUUUAAUCCAAAGAUAAAUGAUUUCUUAGUUAUUUUUACUUACACGGAGCAUAAACAGAUUAAGACACGACAAUGAGUACGAAAGUUUCAACAAUUUGACGACCAUGACCAUUACAGCCCAACUACAACUAGUUGCCCAUUGAUAGUUCUUUUGGAGGAAAGAACAAGAUAUUGAUUGAGACUCCAGUUAACUGAUUUUAUUAAUAUGCUGAUAUUUAUACAUUAAAAUAUAAUUAAAAAAUAAAAUUAUAAAUAAUUUUAAAUUUUAAACUUAAAAUUUUAAUGCAUUUACGGGAUUAGCCAGUUAGCCUGGUAAGUGCAUACGAGAGAUUUCAGGUUCUAUUCUCCUAAUUUCCGACCCCCAUUUUUUAAAAGAAAAAUUAAAAUUUUAAUAAAAUAAUUUAAAACUAAUUUAUUGAAUUUAACCUAACAAUCAUAAUUUUAAAUUUGCAGAUUAAGUCCAUUCUUCUAACGCUUCUCUUUAACUUAGAAAUGCAGUUUCAAUAUUGUGAACCGUUACAUUUUAGAAUUGAUCUUCACUAACUCUUCAACGUGGUUGUGAACUUGAAUAUAAUUGUGAACAUGAUUAUGAAUAAAAAAAUCUUUUUUCUGGCAUUGAAUGUGAGUAGAAAAACUCCUGACAUUGAAUUUUCUUGUUCUGGCAUUGCUAGUGAAUAGAGAAUUCUCUUCUCUUGGCAUUGCUUGUGAAUGAAAAAUUAGCUUGUUGAUGUGUUCUAGAAAUACGAGCUUGGUCUAAUCUUGCUUUUGUUUGAGGUGAACUAUCAACUGAGAUAAAUUUUCCAAGAAGACCCCCUACCCAUUCGAAGAAAUGAUUAGACCAAAUUGAGAGAGGGAUACCUUGCAACCUGAUCUAUAUAAGUCUAUCAGUUGGGUUAUGAACUGGCUUCCACGGCGUAAUAUCAUAAAGCCAUUGAUUGAGUCAAUAUAUGCUUUCAUUCAAAAAAUCUUUCAUGUAAUCCUCUUAUUCAUAAGUUAAGAGCACCUUAUCUCCACCCAUUAGAGUGAUAUUAAUGUUGAGGAGACCCUCAGCAAUGAAGUAAUCUUGAAGAUUUGUGAUAGAGUGAAUGCUCUGAAGUGAGGCUGAUCGAGAGAGCCAUUCUUUAUUUUCUAUGCAAUGUCAUCAGGUGUGCUGUAAUUACCAGUGACUAAGAAACGUGUGGGUUGUCUAGGUUGUUCAGGAUAUAAAUUGACAGCCUCCCUCCCAAGGUCUGGUGGUUCCUUUUGAAAAUGUGGGACUUGUCCCGCAUAGAAUUUACAAAAAUUUAAAAUUGUAUAUAAUAAUAGAUUAAAAAUUACUAAAUAAUUUAGGUUAAUCCUUUUAAAUAAAAAAAAUGAAUUCAAAAAUUAUUUGAGCUUGGCUGUUACAGAAAAAUUGUUGAUUUCCUGGUGUUGAUCUUUCAUUGUGUAGGUUGUGAUUUUGGGUGAAGGUUGCCCACUGCUUUCUGCUGCUAUGCUUCAGAAAUUGACGGCGGGCAAAACGUGGGAAAGAGGCUCUGAGUUUGAAAGAACCAAUCCACAAGUUAUUGGAAACGCAUAUAAGGCUGUCUACUUGGUCUCUAGAAGAAAUUUUGAUGAACCCAAACCGUCAACCACUCCGGUUUAGUUUAUCCGGAAUAUAAACUUUAUAGAUGUUUGAAAACUUUAAAAAAGUAUCCCAAAAAGUUUUAGCAUUCUAGUCCUGAGUCCUGGGGAAGUUCUCAAAAUAGAUAGAAGCUUAGGUAUGAUUUUGCAUAGUCUUAGAAGGAUUGCUGGUGAAGUUGCAUAGUCUUGGAAGGAUUGUUGGUAAAGUUGCUGGACUGCCUUCUAGCCAAUGCUGCUUUUUCUCCUGAUAUUGUUCGUAAAUGGAAAAUUCUCUUCUCCUGUUAUUUGGGCUUGUUAUGGCGUGAGUUUAUUGUGUUUUUGGAUACCAAUUGUUAACUUUUUGAGAGGAGAGGUGAAAAGAGAUUGAUUGAGACUCCAAGUCUAUUGAUUUUAUUGAUGUGAUUAUAUUUAUAUAUUAAAAUUGAUAUUCUGAUAUUUAGAAAAUAGAGUUUAUGGUAUGUGUAUAAGUUUGGUUAAAUAGGGAAUAUCACGUCUUUUUCCUUUUAUUCUUUUUCUUUUUAUUUGUUAGUGGCAUCUAAACACCUCUAUGUUACUGCGUCACCUAUUUUUGUCACUCUCCAUACGUAUGGAUGCGUUAGAGUACUUCUUAAUAUCAGAUAGCCAUUUAAUUUCUCCCAUCUCCCGGCGCGCGUACUAAUAAGGCUAUGAGGUGACUGACCUCGCUUCCCUUACUUUAUGUCACAUCAUAGGACUGAACUUUCUGUAAGUAGGCCGGCGUGUAUAGUCAGUCCGGUUCACUUCAUGUCGCAGUUCCGGCUUCACCCAAGGAUGGGAGAAGUCUGGCGAUUAUCAAAAAUGUAGUUGAAAGGAGUUAAAAUUUUAAUAGAUAGGAAUCCCAUCAAAAUUUCUUUCAAGGAAUGGGUUAGAUCCUAUCAUUUCUUAAGAACAAUAGCUAUUGAAAGGAGAUCCUAAAUAAUUUUAAAUUUAAAAUUUUAGCAAAACAAUUUAAAAAAUUAAUUUAUUAGAUUUAGUCUAAUAAUGAUAAUUUUAAAUUUAUAGAUUAAGUUAAUUCUUUUAAUAACAAUAUAAUAUUUAAUCUUAGGGUAUUCUAGUUUAUUAUUAUUUUAGACGGCUCAUUUUAUUUUACGGAUAAACUUUUCUUUAUAAAUUUAUUAGUUAGAUAUAAUUUUUUGAGUUAGUGUGUUUUUAAUACCAAUUGUAUUUAUAUAACUAAGAUUAUAAUAAAUAAGCUGUGAAUCAUUUUAUAAAAAUUAGUCCCACUACCGGUAGGUGUGAAAGACGACCAAGACAUUGCCAUUGUUUCUUUCUCUGUUUAAGAUUCGUGUCAUAUAUGAGCUUUUAUACACGUAAGAUCGUUGAUGACUACAAAGACUAAGCCCUUGCCACUGUUUCGUCUCUAUUUUGGAUUCAUGUCAAUGUAAGCUUUUAUGCAUGUAACGUUGAUGACUACCUAGACCGAGCCCUUGCCAUAGUUCCAUUUCUGUUUUGGACUCAUGUUGUAAAUGAGCUUUUAUACACAGUCAUAAAAAAUAAAAUAAGAAAAAACCCCAUUUAAAAACAAGAAAAUUGACGCUGGAUAAUUUUUUUUUUUUUUUUUUAAAUUGAAGUUUAGGCUCUCCUGCACCCAUAUUAUUAGCAUCAUAACUGAAAACUUCAUAUAAAAAAGGAUGGCAUAUCCCAUUAAAAAUCACUUACAAAAGCAGACGCCCUUACAAUAAUACAAUGAGCAAUUCAAUUCGUUGAUCUCUUAACAAAAAUAAGAUUAAUGGAUAAAAAUUCAGUCAUCAUAAUCUAACAAUCAUGAAUAAUAAACCAAAAAAUUGAGAAAUAUUAUUAUUUACUUCUAAAAGACUGAAUUAGAAGGAAACAAUCAAUUUGACCUACAUAUAAUUUAAUGAUUUCAACCAGCUCAAAGAUUGAACUAGGAACAAACGAUCAAUUUUCACUGUAACCUACAUAUGAUUUAAUGAUUUCAACCAGUUCAGCGCCUCUCUAAAACACAAAGCUUCAUCCAAUUUUGGGUCCUCUACGGCUGGCGUAGAAGAUGAGAAGCCUGCCAUGCAGAGGCCAUUACUAUCUCGCAAAAUCCCACCAAAACCAAACUUUCCAUUUUGCAAGGAAACAUCAAAGUUGCAUUUAACUUCAAACCUGUUUGAUGGCUUCCAUGAAAUUAUAGCAACUGAACCAGCUUUAUCAUUACCUUCCAGUACCUGCGUCGCCUUCCAUUCUACCAAAAUUUGCCGAGACAAAUGCAUAACUGGCCCUGCCGAUUUUCUAAUCUAGUUCCAUACUAUUUGAUUCCUUGACUACCAAAUUGCCCAAAAAACCAGGAAACCAUGAACACAGUCCUUCUUCUCUUUCUGUUUCAACCAGCCAAUGCAAUCAGCAACAUCUCUCUAAUACUGCCAACCCACAUAUGACUGUAACCAUAUUUCCUUUGCUGCCAGACAAUAUAAUAGUGCUUGGGAAAUUGUUUCUGCAUUAUAUUCACAAAUCUUGCAUGCAAUCAUCACCUCAACAUGCCUAGACCGCAGUAUCUCAUUACAAGGAAGAGUAUUUAUCAAAGCACGCCAUAAGUGAUGCUUUACUUUUAAUGGCAUAUGUGCUUCCCAUACAACUGACCAAAAAUCAGAAUUGUCUAACCUUGUCUGAACUUGUUCCAUUACCACUCUAUAACCACUUUUAACUAUAUAUAUUCUAUGUGUUUCAUGCACCAAUCCCCAUGUAUCUCGACGAACACAAUACGACACAGGAAUUCUUUUGGCGAGUUCAAUAUCUUGUGGUUGUAAAAAUUCUUCUAACUUCUCUUCAUCGCAUCUUCUUCCUUCCCCAUCCAAUAAUGUUGCCACUCUCAGUAAUGUAUUCCCCUCUGCUGGAAUUGCUUGUAUAAAAGGAUUUUCUUCAUCAGGCAGCCACGGAUGAUGGUAAACAAAAGUCUCAUCACCACUGCCAAUACGUCGUCUACAACCCUUCUGUAACAAUUCUUUGGCUAUCCAAAUACUUUUCCAUAUGAAAGAAGGAUUAUUACCUAAUUCCGAAUGAAAGAAAUCAGAAUUCGGAAAAUAUCGUUGUUUCAAAGUAUUUGACACCAAAGAAUCUGGCUCUGAAAUCAACCUCCAUCCCAUAUUAAUUUUAAUUUGAAAAUGGGUAAAAAACAUUAUAAAAAUUAAAGAAAAGAAUUUUCGGUACUAUAAAUUUGUAUAUAUACUCUUUAAUUUUACUUUAAAUAGACGAUAUUAUGGUUUAAUAGUGUUUUGGUGGUUCUAUUUAUUUACUGAUAGUUCUUUUUCUUGUAAAAUCAUUAAAUCCACAUUUUUUUCAAUUUUUAAUUAUUUUGAUAUCAAAUCUAAACUGGUAAAAUAAUUUUUAGAUUAUUUUUUUCUUAAUUCAAGAUCAUUUAAUUAUAAACCAUUCAAAUUCAGUUUUUGUUAUUGAUGUGGGAUGCUCCAAGUGUCAUUAGAAAUUAAUUUUCUUGAAAAACUAAUUGGACGGCAAAUGCUUUAACCAAACAAGGAAUCUUAAAGGAAAAGGACUUUAUUAUAAAAUGUAAUUUUAUAUAAUAUUUGAUUUUUUGUGAUAUUUGGAUUCUUUUGUAAUUGAGGUUCUCCAAAUUUUUUCAUUUAGUAUGUAAUGUCUAUAUAUUAAGUUUCUUCUUGUUUUUAUGGGGACUCGUUGGUUUAGGUUGCAUCUUAAUAAAAUUUUUCUCAGUAAAAAACUCAAUUUAACCUAAAAUUGAGAAAAUCAAGAAAUUAAACAUCUUUAUUCUAACUAAAUCACAAUAUCAAAUAAUUUAACUUAAAUUCAUGAAAUUAAAUUUUCUAAUUUUUUAUAUCAAUCAACAAACAAAGAAAUUUAACAAAAAAAAAACCUUUAAUUUUUUAACUAAAUUAAUAAAUUUAAUAUAAAACUUAUACUUUAAUUUAGAUAAAAAUUAAAAUUUUCUAACAAGUACUCAUGAAUUUAGUUUGAUGGUAAAUAUAUCUAAGUAAAUCUGAUAGAUUUCAAGUUCUAUUCCCCCAAUUUUUAUAUUAAAAAAAAAUUUUAACGACUAUAAUGAAAAAAUUAAAUUUUCAACCUAUCGUAAUAUCAUAAAAACUAAAUUACGAACAUAAUUUUUAAUUAAAAUAAUAAUAAUAAUAAUAAUAAUAAUAAUAAUAAUAUAAUUAGGAGAACUAAAAUCAAGCACAAAAAUAAAAAGUAUAUAUAUAUAUUAUUUAAUAGAAAAUGGCCGCAACAAUGACUUUUAUAUUAAGAAAAAUUAUUAUCUAAAUCAGAUUAUAUGGAUUUAAUAUAUAAAUGUUUUAUUUUUAUGUAAAGCUGAGAAAUCCUAUCUAUAAGUCUUUCCUUCAUAUGAAUGCUUGCCCAAAGAUCAGGCAUACUUCCUGGCCAUAAGGCAAAGAGCAUUUUUCUUGUGCAUAGCAAGACCAGGUUGCGCAUCCAUGUCCAAGUCUUCCUUCUUCAUUCCAACAGGCAUCUCCCAAUCAAAUUUGUGAAGUAGAUUAGCUAGAGACACCUCUACAGUUGCGAGACCCAUAAAAAUCCCAGGACAAAUUCUUCUACCAGCUCCAAAUGGUGUCAGCUCAAAAUCUUGGCCUUUCAAGUCAAUAGUGCUAUUGAUGAAUCUCUCAGGAUUAAACUCUUCUGGGUUUUCCCAGAUUUCAGGAUCUCUUCCAAUUGCCCAUGCAUUCACAUAAACUACAGUUUUAGCUGCUAUGUCAUACCCAUCUAACACACAGUCUUCAGUUGAUUCCCUUGGCACUAAUAAGGGAGCUGUGGGUUGCAGUCUCAUUGUUUCUUUGAUCACAGCUUUGAGAUAGGGUAGUUGUUGACAAUCAGCUUCUUCUACAAAAUCUUUCCUCCCAACAAGUUUUCUUACUUCUUCUUGAGCUUUCUUCAUUGCCAUGGGAUUCUUCAUCAGUAAGGUCAUGGCCCAAACCACAGUAGCUGCGCUGGUGUCUGUUCCUCCCACGAAUACGUUCUGUAUAGAGCAAAAGAAAAAAAAUAUCAUUAUUAGUGCAUGGC